RNAcentral lists this transfer RNA (72 nucleotides) under Cavia porcellus (domestic guinea pig). It matches the Rfam family "tRNA". Rfam says of the family: Transfer RNA (tRNA) molecules are approximately 80 nucleotides in length. Their secondary structure includes four short double-helical elements and three loops (D, anti-codon, and T loops). Further hydrogen bonds mediate the characteristic L-shaped molecular structure. tRNAs have two regions of fundamental functional importance: the anti-codon, which is responsible for specific mRNA codon recognition, and the 3' end, to which the tRNAs corresponding amino acid is attached (by aminoacyl-tRNA synthetases). tRNAs cope with the degeneracy of the genetic code in two manners: having more than one tRNA (with a specific anti-codon) for a particular amino acid; and 'wobble' base-pairing, i.e. permitting non-standard base-pairing at the 3rd anti-codon position. The record is from Rfam by way of RNAcentral. Lineage: Eukaryota; Metazoa; Chordata; Mammalia; Rodentia; Caviidae.
GAGGUUGUAGUUCAGUGGCAGAGCACUUACCUAGCAUGCAUGAGGCCCUGAGUUCAAUUCCCAGUACUGUUA